AGAGUUUGAUCAUGGCUCAGGAUGAACGCUAGCGGCAGGCUUAAUACAUGCAAGUCGUGGGGCAGCACAGGUAGCAAUACUGGGUGGCGACCGGCAAACGGGUGCGGAACACGUACGCAACCUUCCUUUAAGCGGGGAAUAGCCCAGGGAAACUUGGAUUAAUACCCCAUAAGACAGUGGAGUGGCAUCACUCAGCUGUUAAAGCUCCGGCACUUAAAGAUGGGCGUGCGGCUGAUUAGGUAGUUGGCGGGGUAAUGGCCCACCAAGCCGACGAUCAGUAACUGGUGUGAGAGCACGACCAGUCACACGGGCACUGAGACACGGGCCCGACUCCUACGGGAGGCAGCAGUAAGGAAUAUUGGUCAAUGGACGCAAGUCUGAACCAGCCAUGCCGCGUGGAGGAUGAAGGCCCUCUGGGUUGUAAACUUCUUUUAUUGGGGAAGAAACCCAUCUUUUCUAAGGUGGUUGACGGUACCCAUUGAAUAAGCACCGGCUAACUCCGUGCCAGCAGCCGCGGUAAUACGGAGGGUGCAAGCGUUAUCCGGAUUCACUGGGUUUAAAGGGUGCGUAGGUGGGUAGGUAAGUCAGUGGUGAAAUCUCUAAGCUUAACUUAGAAACUGCCGUUGAUACUAUUUAUCUUGAAUAUAGUGGAGGUGAGCGGAAUAUGUCAUGUAGCGGUGAAAUGCUUAGAUAUGACAUAGAACAUCGAUUGCGAAGGCAGCUCGCUACACUAUUAUUGACACUGAGGCACGAAAGCGUGGGGAUCAAACAGGAUUAGAUACCCUAGUAGUCC
Molecule: ribosomal RNA, 793 nt
Filed under: uncultured bacterium
Lineage: Bacteria
Description: bacterial SSU rRNA
Rfam family: Bacterial small subunit ribosomal RNA
Source: RNAcentral